Molecule: long non-coding RNA, 1011 nt
Filed under: Gallus gallus (chicken)
Lineage: Eukaryota; Metazoa; Chordata; Aves; Galliformes; Phasianidae
Description: lncRNA (ENSGALG00010004621.1)
Source: RNAcentral
GUAGAAAUAGUUAAUAUUUUUUUUAAGAUGGAAAUUAAAAGAGACUCUGAACUGUUAAUAGAAAUUAUUUCUGUAACAACCUUCUAAUAAGUUUUGUUUGUUUUUCUUUAACAAUAGUAAAGAUGCAAAUGCAGUGAUCCCAGUGAUCACUCUAGGUCUACUUUUCUGCCUUCCUUUCCAAACCAUUAAAUGGCAGAGGAAAAUAUGUUCUGGGAGCCAGAAGUGUAGCUGGAGAAGAGGGUUUCACAGGGGAACUGUCACUUCAGUUUUACAUAGCUGGACUCUCACCUCCAGAGCAAGCAACAUGGUGCGUCCACUUUGCUGUCCCUGGCAUGUGUUACACAGAGUCACAGAAUCAUAGAAUGCUGUUGUUUGUUAUCUUUGUUAUCCCCAGCGCAGUUUUGGCUCAUCUUCUGCGGCUGUAAUCUGUAAUUUUGACUAAUGACUGACCACUAGUAAGUAGCACGGUUCAGUUUAUAACCUUUGGGUCUUGGUUAGCAAUCUAUGAUCGUACAUAGAGGGCUCCCGCUAUUAUCCCACAUCUGUAUUCACCUACAUUGUGCUUUAUGCUGCAGUCAAAUGUAGUUCAUUCUGCGCAUGAUGAAUAGUUGCAAUCACUUGUCAUGUCCUACAAAACUUGUGUAUAAAAGGAGAUGUUACAGCAUAUACUGGUACUAAGCUAAAGACAAGCUAAAACAAAUUUGGCAGUAAUCACUAGUGCGUUGGCUGCUGUUACAAGCUAAAUCAGUUUCAGACUGUUGAAGACAAGCCUAGACAACAUCUGAUACAUCCUGAGGCCCACAGAGCUCAAUAACGGGCUGGUACCAGGUAUAAGCAGUGUUUAUUGGAAUACAGGGUUGCAAACCCCUUUCAUGUAAUUAUUUCUGAAGCAUAUGUGCCUGUAAAAGAGGAAAAUAGAAAGUGUUUUGUUAUUGUUCUUGCUUUCUGUGAUCUUGUCUUAUCUUGUGCUAUUAAGCCCACUUAAUAACAUGGUUUGUAAUAAAAAUCUUC